CAGCUCUCCGAGUGGUAGGGAUGAUUAUUGGGCCUAAAACGUUCGUAGCCGGUUUGGUAAAUGCCUGGGUAAAUCGUGUAGCUUAACUAUACGAAUUCCGGGUGGACUGCCAAACUUGAGACCGGGAGAAGCUAGAGGUACUCCUAGGGUAGAGGUGAAAUUCUGUAAUCCUGGGGGGACCACCAGUGGCGAAGGCGUCUAGCUAGAACGGGUCUGACGGUGAGGAACGAAGCCCUGGGGCGCAAACCGGAUUAGAUACCCGAGUAGUCC
This 270-nucleotide ribosomal RNA is filed under the name uncultured archaeon. RNAcentral's name for it is "partial 16S ribosomal RNA". It matches the Rfam family "Archaeal small subunit ribosomal RNA", at positions 477 to 747 of the family's 1478-position model. The record is from RNAcentral.